AUAAAAGCAUUCCUUAUCAUCCUAGCAUCCACCUAUCUUUAAAUCUCACAAAACUUUCAUUCAUUUUCCCUGUGUUUUACACCUAUUUCCUUCAUUCUACCAGAUUUCAACACCUCUCUGGCUGUUCAUUGCAUCUAGAAUGAUGUACACAGCUCGCCAAGCAACAAAUUAUGUUCUCUGGAAAAAAAAAAAGGCAAGCUACUUAUGUCUAAUUAACUUCACUACAGCAUGUUUAACAUUAUGGGAAGGUAACCUGCUGAGUCCAGGGCAGAGCUGUGCCAGAUUGAAACUCUCCCAAACGACUGCUAUUGAUGAAUAAACAAAGCAGGUCGGCCAAGGUCUUUGUCUUUUCACAUCAAUUUUGAAGAGAUGUAAACUCCAAGCAAGUGAUGUACACCUGGCACAAACAAGAACUGCUUUCACAUGGGCAAUCACAUCAGCUAUUUUUCUGAACAGACCCUGCUGCUGGGUCUUUUACUCCCCAGCACAUUAAUUUUUUAUCUAUUUGUUUGGGAAAGGUGCCAGACAGUAAAAUGAAACAUCUUGGGCAACUGAGACACAAAAAUUUAAACAAAUGCAGGUUAUUAGAAGAUAUUAUUUCAUAUACACUCCAGGCAUCUCAAGAUGUUUCAGAGCUGAAAAGGGUAAAAAAAUGCUGCUAAUAUCAGGAUCAUUGCUGGGUAAUGGUAUACGGAAUUGAAUGAAGUUCUUAAGCAGACUUUACAUUGUAACUCGUGUCCUAUAACCACAGGAAGAGUCAUGGAAACGGCUGUUUGAGCCUGAAACAAUGAAUCCUUCUGUAAUAGCAAGUUUGUUAACGUAUGGCAUAUCCCCCUUGCACACAUAAUCUGUUGGAUUUUGUCCCAAAGUAGCUGUAAGCAAAGGAUGAUGCUGAACAUUUUACAAUGGAAAGCUUGCUGAGGACUAAAUAACAGUGCUGUGAUUUAGGGCACCGUGAUGGUGCUGACAGUGUGCAGAGUAUAAAUGAAGUUAAAGUCUUUGGGCACAGUAAUUACCUCUUUUGUCUUUGGUGUGCCAGUACUAUAGAGAAGAUUUUAUAUUGCUGGAGUUAAUAAAUCAUUCACCAUGAGUACA
Pezoporus flaviventris is the source of this 1095-nucleotide long non-coding RNA. RefSeq lists it as uncharacterized. The record is from RefSeq and is a predicted model, not a curated record. Lineage: Eukaryota; Metazoa; Chordata; Aves; Psittaciformes; Psittacidae. The transcript has 2 exons.